Long non-coding RNA from Mauremys mutica (yellowpond turtle), 3268 nucleotides. RefSeq lists it as uncharacterized. NCBI's taxonomy places the organism in Eukaryota, Metazoa, Chordata, Testudines, Geoemydidae. The record is from RefSeq and is a predicted model, not a curated record. The transcript is spliced from 3 exons.
AGACCCAAGUGCUGGGUAAAAAGUUCAGAUUCAGCAUUAAAGGUGCUGCGUCUGAGUGAAGGCAUGCUGUCUAAAAUGCAGUAGCUGAGGCCUAGAGUUAAAGUAGGAAGUCCAGUAGAGUCAAAUAGUCUUUGCAAAGACAGCCAGCUGUUUGUCCAAACUACUUGUCCAGGAGGGAUAUGAUCCUGUUUUUGAUAAUAGAGAAGUCCAGAAAACAGGUAGGUCGUACUGGAUGUGAAUUAACACCAAACUGUGCCGUGGCAAUACUUAGUUCACAUAUUCAUUAACAUUUACAGAUGUAGCGAGGAUUCUAUUCUAAUAGUGGCUCCUAUGUCUCUUAGACAGAAAUAAAGCAAACAGAAGGCAACCAAAAUACAAAAUUACUGUCAAGGGCAAGCAAAGGAAAUUAUGUAUACUUAAUCUCUUGUAGUCACAGCAGUUAUUUCCACAAUGUUAUGGCUUGGCUAUUUUUCUUUUUUCCAUUCAAUGUUUGUCUUUCAUGCUUUUCGGGCAAGGGCAAUUUGUAUCAUUAUCUACGUAAUCCUCCUCACAAAAGCAUCCCUCAUUUCAACAUUCUGUGGGUGGUGACAGUGCAUAAACAAAUUAUGGCUAUUUCCAUGACAUUACUGUGUGGGUAGCACUUGCUACUGUAGAAUUUUUAGAAUCUUUCCAAGCACAGAAGAAACGAUUUGUAAGAUGCUAGCUCAGACAUUUGGUGAUUUUUAGCAGGCAUGACUAUUACUCCUAGUACCUAUAAACUAUGGAUGAAUUUCAUGUCUACCAUAUUGCUUACUGUUGAUAAUUAAUUGUCAAUAAUCAAUAACCAAUUAAUUGAUAAAAUUAACUGUGAUUAUAUGUUUAGUGAGAGGGUGUAGUGGGGUUUACAAACCCCACACUGAGCCUAGGCAGAAGGGAGAGGAUAGUCUUCCCUGCUUACACGCAAUCAGACUGACCACACCCCCUCAGAACUGCCACUUUUGGAGACAUGCACCCACAGGUGAGGCCAAUAAAGAAAACAAGCCCAGCUAUAAAGGAGGGAAAGGGAAAGGGAGAUAGAAACAUCUGGGAUAACAGAGGGGCAAUGGCCUUAUGUCAGGAUGUGUCUAAGAAACUGUCAAGGAAAUAAAAGAUGACUGCAAGUCCUGGAAGUUAAGGGCUGAUGGACUCAAUCUAGGUUAAGAGUUUAUGGACUGGUCUAACUGUAAGUGAAUGGAAAGGGACCAGUUAGGAGAAAGCUGGAACCCCUAGAGAGACUGCACCAAGAGCAACUGAUAGAGAGGUUUUCUUUAGUGUGGAUUUGUUUAAUAACAACAAACUGUGACUAAGUCAGCUUUGUUUGGGUUUAACUUAGCCAAGACAGCACAUACACAGAGAGGCAUACAGUUAUUACAUUACUAAGACAUUUCCUACAGCUCACAAUAUGCUAGAGGUCACUGCUUGGUAAAAUUCCACUCUUUAAAAUUAGCUACAUUUAUCCUUCAUCCUUCUUCACUCCAUCCAUAUCCCCUUGCAUUUUUGGGGGUGGGAGUAAUGGAGUGUCCACUCCACACAAGACAGAGCAGGCCAAGUGAUCUUAAUUAAUCUGAUUGGCUGCACCUGAGGGAGAUCGGGGUUUGAAGAAUUGAUACAUAACGGAGCCCAGCUGAGAAGGAACAGCAGGGGCUGGUAUAAAGCCAGGAAAUUGGCAGAAGAAAGGAGCUGAAGGGGAAGCAGGCUGUAGUCACUCUCUGGGAUUAGGGAGGUGUGUUUGAGGCUACGGAGUUCAGUAGUCUGCAGUUACUCCCUGGGAGGAGGUAAUUUGAGCUGGUACACCCAGAAUGGGGGAGCCAGAAGUUGUAGAAAGGAGUUCAAGGAAAGAGCACCAGGGUCUGAGGGAAAGCACACCAGAUAAGGGGUCCCUAGACUGGAGUAGUGGGUGGGCCUGGGUUCCACUACCAAUUGCUGGGAAAGCAGCACUGGAGCCGGCCUUGGACUGCAAGGCUGACUGGAAUGGUAAGUGGGCUGCUGAUGCAGUGGGACUUUGAUACCCCGGGAGGGGAAGACUGUACCAUGAUCUAGCCAGAGGUCUGAGUCAUGACGAAGGAAUACCCGAAGUCCAAGAGCGAGAGAGACACACAGGGCAAAGAAAUCAGCAUUGGACCUGAAUGGAGCUAAUCCCCAGAGCAAUCAGGAGGCGGCACACCAACAGUUGUCUGAAAAGUAACAAUCUUUGAUGUAGAGAAAGAGGAGCCUCCUUGCCACCAGCAGAAGAGAGAAUUUCUGGCAUGAAAAGAUCUUAAGGGAGCCUCUCUGCAGAGGAGGGCAAGUAAAUGGAAAAGAGACCCUCCCACAGAUGUCGUGGUUUACCAGAAACCCACAUGGCACUUCUCACUGUCCGCCAUCUCUGUCGUAAACAUGGAGCCCACACUACUGCAUGGAGCUCUGCUCUACUGUCACGAGGGCUGCAAACACAGGAUGAAAAAUCCUCCAGUAUUUUCAGAGCUGCAGGAAGAACCACAACAAGAGGGGACAUGGUGGUUUUUGUGGAGAACAGAUUGCUGUGUAACACAGCAAAAAACGAUUCCAGGUUUUCAUCUGUUUUUAUUAAAACUAUUUGUUUUAAAAGCUGUUUUGCUUCCAAUUUGAUCUGCAAAUUCUUCUUUCCCUAUCCUGCUGCCUUCUGCUCUGUUGCAGGAACAAUUCAUUAAGAUGAAGAGCAUUCUGCUGGGUCCGCAUCUUCAGUAAGUAUUUCUGCAGCAGUUUAGUAAUGAUCUUAAUGUUCAUGGUUGUAUUUUUACAGCCAUCUCAACUGGCUAUUAAAAGGCAGCACUGCACUUUGAAAAUUGCUACUGCACCACUUCAGAAAUACUUACAAUGAUGAGGAUGCAGAGCGUGCUGUAAUUUCAGUAGAGACCUCAUGCUUCACGAAUGACUUAUAAAAAAGGAUGGUUAUAAUUUAUUAUUAGAGUAGAUGCCACUUUAAAUUAUUAUUCCAGGAAGUUAAUAACUGGGGGAGAAUUAUUAAGAAUUAGGUGACUUUUUAAAAAUAUUACCAAAAAUCAGACUUUGCUGCACAGUUUUCUCAUCAUUAGUAUAUAAGUAUUGUAAUGACCAGUAUAGACAGCACCGCCAUCAACAGGGGGUGUUAUAUCUUUAUCUUAGUGAUAACUUGUUGUCUUGCAUGUUAUGUUGGGAGGAGGGUGAAUUACUAAGAAAUUAAGUCCUGCCUUUGGUGCUGGAGUUGUUACUUGCAAUUGUCCCAAUAAAUAAUUUGAAUUCUAUGUCAGUA